Long non-coding RNA from Varanus komodoensis (Komodo dragon), 3671 nucleotides. RefSeq lists it as uncharacterized. NCBI's taxonomy places the organism in Eukaryota, Metazoa, Chordata, Lepidosauria, Squamata, Varanidae. The transcript is spliced from 2 exons. The record is from RefSeq and is a predicted model, not a curated record.
AUGGGUCGGGCACGACUUUGCGACUUACAACAACAACAAUCUUCAGUGAGGUUUACACCACCAUCCUACAUAUGUCUUCUCAGACAUAAUCUUCAAUAAAUUAAGUGGAAAUUAGAGCCAGAUGUUGUUCUCCUCUCUCAUUCUCCUCAACACAUCUGAAUACUCACCGCAUUUGUAUCUGUCACCUGCUUCUGUCAAUGAUGUGGUUAUCCAGGUAACUGAUGCUGCCUCAACAGAGUUCUUACUGGCUUAAGGAGUUGCCUCAGAACUCCCAACUGUUUGAUUUAUUUACCUUUUUUUCUGUAGUCCCCCCUCUCCUCAAAGAUAAAAAUGCCAUUCCUAAGGCAUUAGUUAUUGUUAUUAAGAGCUUUAAGCUAAAAUGCACUGGUAUUUUGGCCCUGCCCACUUCUGGAAUGCAGUUUGUUAGAGUCUUUCAAGAAUGGAAUCCAAUGUUCUGGCUGAACAAGGUUCUGCACCUCUGUAUAUCAGGGCAGAAUCGGGGCUUGCUUGGCAACUUGUCUGAUGGUUCAAUGCCUUUGAGUUUCCUAAUGUUAAAGCGAGGAUGCUAAAUUACAUAGUGUGUGUCACAAUUAAAGAGACUGUCAGCCCAGAAAAGGAACAAAUAAAGAUGGUACAUAAGAUUACAAUCAAGCCACAGGUAGAAAUUAAGUGAUCGUCUUGUUAUUAGAAGGAUAGUUUUUUGACAACACGGAAUUGUUUUCAACGUCCUAGCACCAUGACAUGGCACUGUAAACCAGUCUACUUUUCUGUGUUUUUUUCAGUUGCACAGGCUCUCCAAGCCUUUGAGUUUCUCACAACAGCAGGGUGUGUGCAAGGUGCCCUGGAUGAGUCAUCACAAUGAAGCAAUUUAUUUCCCUGCUGCAAUGCAUGCUUGCUCCUUUUAUUGACUGCUACCUCAUGAUGGUGUGUCAAAGCAUGUAGGCUAGUAAUAAUGAACUCUGCUGUGGGAAGUCAACCGAAGGGAGACUCUUCAGUUAAAACAACCCGCAUUACUCCUAAAGAGUAUUUAGAAACUACUCUCUGCACAGAAUCCUGAUUUUCUGUUUCUGGUACUCCUUGCUGAACAUGUGUGCAAAUACAUGUGAUCUGCAAUUAAGAUUUAAUAUUGUGAACUAGGAUAGCCAUGUGGUUUUUUUCACAGAAAGUCCACAUGGAGGACUGUGAGAAGAUGGGCCUUGAUAUUGAAGACAAUUUCUGUUUGAAGGACCUUCCACUUCAAGCCUGGUUUUUAAUAAAAAGAGUCAUCAGGAAGAAGAGUUGGGCCUUGAAGUUUCCCAUCGACAGUGCUGAGAAGGUGCAAAGGUCACCCUUCACACAAUGGUGGGAUAUAUUGUAUUUCUAUAUAAACUGCCAUUGUUUCUAAACUGUUUAUAUACGUAUGCAUUUUAAGCAAAUAGGUGCCCUCUUUAGCCCUCUUUCAUGGUGAUUCCAAAGGUAUAAACUAAAUUCUUAUUGCUUAGUAAUGUUUUAAAAAUGAAUUGCUGCACAUUCAGGUAUUCCCUUCUUAAGCAAGAGGAUAAUGGUAGUAGACUGUAGGGACAAUUUUGUUGAAUGUGUAUCUUGGAACUGGAUCAGUCAUUAAAUGACAAUGUGUGAGAAGUACAAGCCCUCUUCAGAGGAGGUGGUUCUUUCUUAAGAACUCAGCACAGGGAUGCUUCAUUGUUCAUAGAGCCUUUGUACCUCGUCACACAUAGAGCCAAAAGAUACUGGGUUAGAUCCUGAAUCAUUAUACAAUUCUUUGCAAAUCUCUUUAGAAGAAACCUCCAAUGAAUUCAGUGGAGCUUAGUCCCAGGUAAGCACAGCAAUUUUUAUCUGAACUUAGGACCAAUGCAAAGAAAUGGGACAUGUUGGUCAUGACUUAACUGGUUUGAAUCCAACCCACUGUCUUUAGUUUUACAUGACAGGCUAGGCCAUGAAAGAAAGGAGCAGUUCUCCAACUGUGGGGUCCCCAGCAUGGUGCUUAUAGGUACUAUGGAUAUUCUUGGUGCACCCCAAGAUUCAGCCUGCCAACCUGAGUCUCAUUUUAUUUUAGACAUUCAUUUUAUUUUUAACUGGGGGAGGGUCAUAGGCAUAGUGCAAAGCCAAAUAGUGUCUUCCAGCACACCACUAGGUUGAGUUUGUGUUUUGUGCUCAGACCCCACCUCGUCUUGUAUUAGGUGCUUGGGCACGUUACUUUUCUUUUACUGUAUAGGGCAUUUCUUUGCAAGAUUGUUUUUGUUGCUGUUGUUUUUUUAAACUAAAAGCUAAAGAUUGCAUUUUGGCUGGCUAAAGAUCUUUUGUUAAACUCAAGGUGUUUUGCAAGUUGGAGCUAUGUAGUCAGAAGCAAGCACCAUGGGGUUUGAUAGGAUACAUUAGAUUGCAGCCAUGCCCCGUAACAUAAUAAAAAAUAAAAAUAAAAUGAUAAUUCGCAUGUGGAUUAAACAAAACUGACUCAAUAAAGUGACAACAAAUUAAGGCAAGAGGCCUUUUCAAUACCCUUGGGUGUUCCAUAUAUAUACGUGCAGGACAAAAUCCUAUGCUACCUAUUUUAAACUCCCACAUUACACAGCUACAAAAAGGAAGCAAGUUUUAUAGUUGACUAUACAGUUGGACAAAAAGUAGGGGUUGGGCACCUGUUUGAUAUACACUGUUAAUGAGAGACUGAUGCCUCUGUUGUGGCAGAAUCCAAUGCAAAUUCCAUAUUUACAUGUGUUUAUAUUAUUUCUUCAUCGCAUAACACAAUCCUUGUAUCACUUAAAAGUGAAUUCCAUCUGAUGAUCAAACACUUUCGAAAUGCCAGCGGUGCAGAAUAUGAUGUGAUUCAACAAAAGUGAGAAAAAGUCUUGAGAAAUAAAUGCCACCAGCUGUUGUAAAGGUUUUGCCAAUUUAUUUUUACCUAGCUAUGUAUUAUAUUAGUAAGCUUAGUUUCCCAUUGACUCGCUUGAGUUUUCUUGUGGAUUAAGAUUGGAGGCAAGCCAUGCUUUCCUUCUGAAAUAUGCCUAUAUGUUUUCUCAAACAACUUCUCGGAAAAUGAGCCUUCUUGCAAAUCUGGAAUAGGGGUUGGAACCAGAGGCGUAGCUGCAAGGAAGUGUAUUCUGGCCUCUGCUGUUGGCAAGGGGUCCAAGGGCCACUGGGAGGAUAUUUUCCUUGCCUCCUAGGAAGAAUAUAAUGCCAAGGGACAGAUCGACCUGGCCCCAUCCAUCAGGCAGAGGAGGGGCAACUUCAGGGAGCUUGCCUCCCUUUUCCCAGCCAGGUGGAGCACUUUUAAGAAAGAUAUGUGUAACUAGAAACUCCCUGUAUCCAUCUAUCCCAGUAUUAAGCUCACCAGUGAAAGCCUUAUUAUGUUGUGAUAUAAGAAAGGGUCAUUGUGGAGAGCUGGUCUGGGUGCUGGCCACAUUUCAUACCAUGCUAAGACUUGGCUAUUUGUUAACUGAUUUGUUCUCAUUUGAUUGCUUGGGUUACUUUUUCGAUCUGUGUUUUGAUGUUGAAUGGUUUUAUAGAUGGAUGAUGUCUGAUGUUUGUUUUACUUGGAAUAGAACAAUUGAACUGAAUGGGAGUUAAGUUUAGCUAACAUUGGAUAUAGCCCAUUGCUGUCUCAUGUGCUGGCAGCCAUUGAUAUAAGGCACAUUGGACGUACUUCAAAGUAAAUAAAUAAACACAAGUCCAUGUUU